RNAcentral lists this ribosomal RNA (500 nucleotides) under uncultured bacterium. RNAcentral's name for it is "partial 16S ribosomal RNA". It matches the Rfam family "Bacterial small subunit ribosomal RNA", at positions 30 to 523 of the family's 1533-position model. The record is from RNAcentral.
AUUGAACGCUGGCGGCAUGCCUUACACAUGCAAGUCGAACGGCAGCACGGGAGCAAUCCUGGUGGCGAGUGGCGAACGGGUGAGUAAAGUAUCGGAACGUGCCCAGUCGUGGGGGAUAACGUAGCGAAAGUUACGCUAAUACCGCAUACGAUCUAUGGAUGAAAGCGGGGGAUCGCAAGACCUCGCGCGAUUGGAGCGGCCGAUAUCAGAUUAGGUAGUUGGUGGGGUAAAGGCUCGCCAAGCCGACGAUCUGUAGCUGGUCUGAGAGGACGACCAGCCACACUGGGACUGAGACACGGCCCAGACUCCUACGGGAGGAAGCAGUGGGGAAUUUUGGCCAAUGGGCGAAAGCCUGAUCCAGCCAUGCCGCGUGCAGGAUGAAGGCCUUCGGGUUGUAAACUGCUUUUGUACGGAACGAAAAGGUUUGGGCUAAUAAGCUGAGCUCAUGACGGUACCGUAAGAAUAAGCACCGGCUAACUACGUGCCAGCCGCCGCGGUAA